This 379-nucleotide unclassified non-coding RNA is filed under the name uncultured Rickettsiales bacterium. RNAcentral describes it as "contains 16S-23S intergenic spacer region". Lineage: Bacteria; Pseudomonadati; Pseudomonadota; Alphaproteobacteria; Rickettsiales. The record is from RNAcentral.
UCCGGCUUAUCACCGGCAGUUUUCUCAGAGUUCUCGCCAUUACGCGUUAGCAACAGAGAAUGAGGGUUGCGCUCGUUGCGGGACUUAACCCAACAUCUCACGACACGAGCUGACGACAGCCAUGCAGCACCUGUGCUCCUCCCACCCGAGGUGAAGGCCCCUUUUGGGGGGCCGAUAGAGGGCAAGUCAAGUCCUGGUAAGGUUCUUCGCGUUGCCUCGAAUUAAACCACAUGUUCCACCGCUUGUGCGGGUCCCCGUCAAUUUCUUUGAGUUUUAAUCUUGCGACCGUACUCCCCAGGCGGGAUGUUUAACGCGUUAGCUACGCCACUGAGAACUAAGUUCCCAACGGCUAACAUCCAUCGUUUACAGCGUGGACUAC